Molecule: ribosomal RNA, 571 nt
Filed under: uncultured bacterium
Lineage: Bacteria
Description: partial 16S ribosomal RNA
Rfam family: Bacterial small subunit ribosomal RNA
Source: RNAcentral
UGGGGAAUAUUGCACAAUGGGCGCAAGCCUGAUGCAGCCAUGCCGCGUGUGUGAAGAAGGCCUUCGGGUUGUAAAGCACUUUCAGCGAGGAGGAAGGUGGUGAGCUUAAUACGCUCAUCAAUUGACGUUACUCGCAGAAGAAGCACCGGCUAACUCCGUGCCAGCAGCCGCGGUAAUACGGAGGGUGCAAGCGUUAAUCGGAAUUACUGGGCGUAAAGCGCACGCAGGCGGUUUGUUAAGUCAGAUGUGAAAUCCCCGGGCUCAACCUGGGAACUGCAUUUGAAACUGGCAAGCUAGAGUCUCGUAGAGGGGGGUAGAAUUCCAGGUGUAGCGGUGAAAUGCGUAGAGAUCUGGAGGAAUACCGGUGGCGAAGGCGGCCCCCUGGACGAAGACUGACGCUCAGGUGCGAAAGGCGUGGGGCAGCAAACAGGAUUAGAUACCCUGGUAGUCCACGCUGUAAAACGAUGUCGAUUUUGGAGGUUGUGCCCUUGAGGCGUGGCUUCCGGAGCUAACGCGUUAAAUCGACCGCCUGGGGAGUACGGCCGCAAGGUUAAAACUCAAAUGAAUUGAC